UGUAAUGUGGCUCAGUGGUAGAGCACUUGCCUAGCAUGCACAAGGCCCUGGGUUCCAUCCUCAGUACAACAU
Molecule: transfer RNA, 72 nt
Filed under: Heterocephalus glaber (naked mole-rat)
Lineage: Eukaryota; Metazoa; Chordata; Mammalia; Rodentia; Bathyergidae
Rfam family: tRNA
About the family: Transfer RNA (tRNA) molecules are approximately 80 nucleotides in length.
Source: Rfam by way of RNAcentral